Molecule: long non-coding RNA, 446 nt
Filed under: Equus caballus (horse)
Lineage: Eukaryota; Metazoa; Chordata; Mammalia; Perissodactyla; Equidae
Description: lncRNA (ENSECAG00000031294.3)
Source: RNAcentral
CCUAACAGCUGGUUCCACUUCCUGGGCAGUUACGCCAUCAGGCUACGGUUGGGCCAGGUACCAGACGUUCCUCUUGGGAAGACAGGUGUGAUAUCAGGGGACAGGUCUUGUGUAGGCACCAGGCACCCUGGCAGCUCUCAUCUCCUGUUAAGCAGCUGCUGGCCUACCUCUUGGCGUGGGGCUACAGCUCCUCCAGAACCUGGAACAGGUAUAUGGGCAACUCUGACAAAGGGCCCCAGCUGCUUCUGCAGGUCACUCACAUCCUGAAGGCUGGAGACGGCGAGACAUACAGGUACCAGUUGUCCUCAUGAGUUCCAGUUUGUCUUUGCUCUCCCUCAUUGCACAUCCAGUUUGCUGAUCUAUGUGACUUCAGUCCCGACACCAGCCGUGGAGGCAACAGCCUUGCACAGACUUCUUCACCAGGUCCCACAACUGCUUCAGCUCUA